Gossypium raimondii (Peruvian cotton) is the source of this 8885-nucleotide RNA transcript. It is a transcript of the gene named zinc finger BED domain-containing protein RICESLEEPER 3, with no coding region annotated. The record is from RefSeq and is a predicted model, not a curated record. Lineage: Eukaryota; Viridiplantae; Streptophyta; Magnoliopsida; Malvales; Malvaceae. The transcript has 6 exons.
GCAACCAAUUAAGAACAACUAGGGAUUUAAUGGAAGAGACCGCUGGAGGACUCUUACGAUUGAAGCAAGGUAAAACUCUAAGAAUUUUAAAUACACCUUUAAUUCAUCGACGGAGAGAUAAUUAAGGGUAGAAAUUCAGCUAAGAAUGUUCUCUGACUGGAUAAAAUUACUUCGUAAGCGAUUUCUUUAUCCUUGCUAUCGAAUUCAGAUAUUGGAAUAAUUGAGGGAUGCAAUCGACUUGUGCUUAGCGGAUUGAGGAGCCCAUAACUAAGCUCUCCUAUUCUCUAUUGGAUUAAUUAUUUUAAGUAAAAUCUAAGUUAAAAUUUAUUCAUUAUUUUAGGAAAACAUAGAAGCAAAAAAAAUUCCCCCAUUUUACUAUCUUGCAUGCGUUUACAUUAUCUUAAUUUCGAUUUUUUCUUCUUUCCAAAUAGGUUUAACGCGAGCUUCUUCGUGGGACGAUUCCCUAUUUACCCUAUAUUACCAGUUAAUAUUGGUUGGAUAACGGAUUUAAUCUGGUAGUCAUAACAAUAGCUACCAAAUUUUGGCGUCGUUGCCGGGGAAGCGACGUAGCCAAAUCUAUUUGAUUUUCAAAACUUACUUUGUUUGCUUGUUUUUGUCUUUGCAGGUAGAUUAGUCUAUUUAGUAUAUGUUAUUAAGGAGCGGACGACGAACAUCGAAGUUCCCUGUUAACAUUACCGAUCAACAAGUCGAAUCUCACAAUCUCCACGAGCCUAACGAUUUCGAGGACAUCGACAUGGCCAACCAGACCUUGAAGCAAUUGGCCGCACCUAACUUGGCUGCACAACCACCAUCUAUCACUUAUCCUGCCCUUGAUAGGCCAUUAAAGCUUAAUUCGGGAUUCCUGAACUUGUUGCCGAAAUUCAAUGGACUACCAGGUGAGGACCCUUACCGUCAUAUUAAUGAAUUUAUAAUAACUUGUUCAACUAUGCAGCCAGAUGGCAUUGAAGAGGAACAAAUCAAGCUCCGAGCUUUUCCUUUCUCGUUACAAGGUUUGGCGAAGGACUGGUUAUAUUAUAUGCCGCCAAAUUCAUUUACGACGUGGACAGGGUUGCACAAAGCUUUUCUUGAGAAGUUCUUUCCGGCAUCGAGAAUAGGGUCAAUCAGGAAGGAAAUUUGUGGAAUUAAGCAACUGGUAGGUGAGUCAUUAUACGAGUACUGGGAAAGAUUUAAACGGAUAUGUGCGAGUUGUCCACAGCAUCAGAUUAGUGAAUAGCUUUUAGUACAAUAUUUUUAUGAGGGGUUGAUGCCACAAGAUCGAGGAAUGAUUGAUGCAGCGAGUGGAGGUGCAUUGGUUGAUAAAACUCCAGAGCAAGCCCAAAAUUUGAUUGCUAAUAUGGCGCAGAAUACACAGUAAUUCGGUCUCAGGAGGUCCGAUUUGGGUAAACGAAUGGAUGAGGGCCAGUCGAGUAUGAUGGAGGCUCAGUUAGCUAAUUUAACGGCUAUGGUAAGUAAAUUGAUGACUGGAGGUAAUACGAAAGCUUCACUAUGUGGCAAUUUGUUGUUUGGAAGGACAUACCACAUAUAUGUGUCCGACAUUAUAGGAAGGGGAAGCUAACGCCGUCUUUCCAAAUCAGAGAAGGUAUGAUCCAUACUCAGCUACCUAUAAUGAAGGAUGGAGAGACCAUCCCAAUCUCAGAUAUCAAAACCAAGCCACACCUCCAGGAUUCGAGCAGCAAAAUUCACGACAAUAUAAUACGUCACAGCAACAACCCAACCAUCAAAAUCUUAGUGCUGAAACUAAGACUCAUACCAUGCUUGAACAAAUGAUGAAGAUGAUGGUUGACCAGAAGAAGGAAACCGAUGGAAGAUUUCAGUCUUUAGAAUCGGCAGUGAAGCAGUUGCAAACCAGAGCCUCGUCGACUGACGUUAAUCUUGGGAACUUGCAAGCACAGGUAAAUAACUGGUUACCAUCACAGCCCGUGGCAAAUCCGAGGGAUAAUGUCAGUGCUAUAACUUUGCGAAGUGGGAAGGAGUUGAGAUCAAUACUAAAGAAAGUCCAAAACAGCGAUGAGGAAAACGACACUGAGGUAAAAAAGUUUGAUUUAGUGAUAGAGCAGAGGAAAAUUUAGCCUUGCCAAAGGCUGAUUUACAACCAUCGCAAGUAGCUCCAAAGGAAGCAAGGAUAUCACGUUUACAACAGCCCACUACUUCGCGCGAUACAACAAAUUUUAAACAGGAAACAAGGGUUCCCAAACUUCGAGCUCAAGCAAGUCAAGAUGCUAAUAACCAGCCUCGGUCUUAUGUGCCGAAGGCGCCAUUUCCACAGCGUUUGAGGAAGGAAAAAUCAGACGACGUCAAUGCCGAAAUCCUUGAGACGUUUCGUAAGGUACAAGUUAACAUUCCAUUGAUUGAUGCAAUUAAACAAGUGCCUAGAUAUGCUAAGUUUUUAAAAGAAUUAUGCACGUCUAAAAGGAAAUUAAUUGGAAAUGAGAAGAUUAGCUUAGGCGAAAAUGUAUCUGCGGUAUUUCAAAAGAAACUUCCUAUUAAAUGUAAAGAUCCUGGAAUGUUUUCGAUACCUUGUAAGAUAGGAGACCUUAAACUUGAUAGAGCUAUGCUUGAUUUAGGGGCUUCUAUAAAUGUCAUGCCUAAAAGUAUCUACGAUAAAGUUCAAUUAGGUGCAUUAAAAGACACAGGACUGAUAAUUCAGCUUGCGAAUAGAAGUAAUGCCUACCCUGAUGGUGUUUUAGAAGAUGUUCUCGUGCAAGUAAAUGAGUUAGUCUUUCCGACUAAUUUUUAUGUUUUAGACAUGGGACCUAAUGCUAAUUCGAUUGAUGUACCCUUACUUUUAGGUAGAGCCUUUCUUAAGACAGCUAGAACGAAAAUUGAUGUGCAUAAAGGGAAUUUAACAAUGGAAUUUGAUGGUGAGAUAAUUAAAUUUAAUAUAUUUGAUGCUAUGAGAUAUCCCACUGAUAUUAAUUCCGUAUUUACUCUUGAUGUAAUUGAUAAUUUUGUUCAAGAUGUUUAUGAAUUAGGGGAUGAAGACGAGUUGAAAAGCAUUCUAGCUAAAGAUAUUUUUGAUAUCAAUGAUCAUGAAUUUAUCGUUUCUGAUUCUUUAAUUGACUCAAUUUGUACUUUAGACUCGCCCAAAUUGACACGAUUCAAGCCGAUUCUCCCUAAUCUUAUGGUGACUGGUAAGCAAGUCCCUUCAUUGAUUUCGCCACCUAAAUUAGAGUUAAAAGAGCUGCCCAAAAAUUUAAAGUACAUUUAUUUAGGGGAAAAUCAAACUUUACCAUUGAUAGUGUCGAAUGCCUUGACUAAAUCCCAAGAAUCUAAGCUGCUUAGAGUUCUUAGGGAGCAUAAAGAAGCCUUCGGUUGGACACUAGCUGACAUUAAGGGACUUAGUACGACUUUGUGUACCCACAAGAUUCAGUCCCCAAAAGAGACCCCCAACGCUGAUUGAAUCCACCAAUGAUGGAGGUAGUUAAGACUGAAAUUUUAAAAUGGUUGGAAGCCGAUGUCAUUUAUCCUAUAGUUGAUUCAAAGUGCGUAAGUCCAAUUCAUGUUGUACCUAAGAAGGGAGGAACUACAAUAGAUACCAACAAGGAGGGGUUAGAGAUUCCUACGAGAGUGCAGAAUGGUUGGCGGGUUUGUAUAGACUAUAGGAAACUGAACAAAGCCACUAAAAAAGACCACUACCCCCUUCCAUUCAUGGAUCAAAUGUUAGAAAGGUUAGUUGGUCGCUCACAUUUUUGUUUUUAGAUGGCUAUUCAGGUUAUUUGUAGGUACCUAUUGCACCUGAGGAUCAAGAGAAGACCACCUUCACUUGCCCGUUUGGAACUUACACCUUCAAGAGAAUGCCUUUCGGAUUGUGCAACGCACCAGCUACUUUUCAAAGAGGUAUAACGAGCAUAUUUUCAGAUUUUAUUUCACAUUUAAUGGAGGUGUUCAUGGAUGAUUUUACGGUUUAUGGUGAUUCAUUUGAUCAAUGUUUGCAUCAUCUUGUGUUAGUUCUUAGGCGUUGUAUUAAGACUAACCUGAUAUUGAAUUUUGAGAAAUGUCAUCUCAUGGUUGAAAAGGGCGUAGUAUUGGGGCAUGUCGUCUCAGCUAAAGGUUUAGAAAUAGACCAAGCCAAAGUCAAGGUAAUUAAAAAUCUACCUUAUCCAGGUACUGUGAAAGGAAUUCGAUCCUUCUUGGGUCAUGUAGGUUUUUACCGUCGGUUCAUCAAGAAUUUUUGCAGAUAUCGUCACCUUUAUGUGCAUUUCUUGGUAAGGAUGUCGCAUUUAAAUUUAGUGAGAAUUGCAAAAAAUCUUUUGAUGAAUUGAAAUUGAAAUUGAUCACGGCUCCUAUCAUUCAAGGACCGAAUUAUGCAUUACCUUUUGAGAUUCUAUGUGAUGCUAGUGAUAAGGCUGUUGGUGCGGCUUUAGGACAAAGAAAUGGUAAGGAGUCUUAUAUUAUCAGGUAUGCUAGCGAGCUAUUGAACCCAGCUCAAUGCCAUUAUACCACGACCGAGAAAGAACUCUAUGCCAUAGUUUUUACCUUAGAAAAUUUUAGAGCAUACUUGUUAGGAGUCAAAGUUGUUGUAUUUUCUGACCAUGGUCCUCUUAAAUAUUUGUUGCAUAAAAAAGAAGCUAAGCCCCAAUUAAUAAGAUAGAUUUUGCUUUUGCAGGAAUUUGACUUGGAAAUUAAAGAUAAGAAAGGUAAGGAGAACCUUGUGGCCGAUCAUUUGAGUAGGAUAGAGACUAGAAUUUUGAGGGAUGAGCCGAGUGAUUUAUUUCCCGAUGAGCGACUUUAUAGUGUGUCUAGUGUUUUGCCAUGGUAUGCCGACAUAGUGAACUACUUAGUGACUAAAGAGUUCCCUACGAAUGCACCUAGACAUUUAUGAGAAAAAAUUAGAAGUCAAGCCCGAUUUUACUUAUGGGAAGAGCCAUACCUUUGGCGAUUUUGUAGUGAUCAAAUAAUUAGGCGUUGUGUCGAUGAUAGUGAGAUAGAUUCGGUGCUUAAUUUUUGUCAUUCUCGAGAAGGUGGAGGACAUUUUGGGCCUAAGAGAACAGUUCAUAAAAUACUUGAGUGUGGGUUAUUUUGGCCGACUAUUCAUAAAGAUUCAUAUGCAUUUUGUAAAAAUUGUGCAUUACGUCAAAAAACCGGCAAUUUAAGUAGCAAAAAUCAAAUGCCAUUACAUAAUUUUUAUGUUUGUGAUAUAUUUGAUGUAUGGGGUAUUGAUUUUAUGGGGCCUUUUCCUUCUUCUCUCGGUUAUCUAUACAUUCUUGUUUGUGUUGAUUACUUGUCGAAAUGGGUAGAAGCAUUCCCAACUAGGGCUGAUGAUGCUAAAACAGUGGUGAAGUGUCUUAAGACUAACAUCUUAAAUAGAUACGGAGUACCCAGGGCUAUAAUCAGUGACAAGGGAACACAUUUCUGUAAUAGAACCUUGAGAGCCUUAUUUGCACAAUUUGGUGUCACUCACAAAGUAUCGACAGCUUAUCACCCUCAAACCAAUGGGCAAGCCGAGAGUAGUAACAAAGAGAUUAAGGGAAUUUUAGAGAAAAUUGUUAAGCCCAAUAGGAAAGAUUGGAGUCAAAGGUUAGAUGAAGCAUUGUGGGUUGUUCGAACAGCUUACAAAACGCCAAUUUGGAUGUCGCCUUACAGGGUUGUUUUUGGGAAGGCAUGUCAUCUUCCCGUAGAGCUUGAACAUAGGUCAUUUUGGGCUGUUAAGCAAUGCAAUUUGGAUUAUAGUUUGGCAGGUGAAAAGCGUAAGUUGAAGCUGCAAGAAUUGGAGGAGUUGUGCUUGGAGGCAUAUGACAAUUCGGUCAUUUACAAAGGUAAGUCGAAGGCAUUUCGUGACUCCAAGCUGAUUCGCAAGGAAUUUAAGGUGGGGGAAAAGGUACUACUCUUUAAUUCUAAGCUUAAAUUGUUUCCCGGUAAGUUAAAAUCAAGUUGGCUUGGUCCAUUUAUAAUAACCGAAGUGCAUUAUCAUGGGGCAAUCGAAAUUAGGAGUCUCGAAACUAAUAAAAUUUUCAAAGUAAAUGGUCACAGGUUGAAACAUUUUCAUAAAGGAGAGCAAGCAGCUUGGUUGGAGGAGAUCAAUCUUGAGGAUCCAUGAGAAAUUGUGAUGUCGAGCCAACGACUUAAAACGAAGGCGCUUGUGGAAGGCAACCCACGUAUUCAGGGAAGUUUUUUUUUUAUCUUUUCCAUUAUUAUUGUUUCUUUCCAUUAAAUAAUUUUUAAUUUUUAAUUUUCUUUUGCAUUAGGGGCAAUGCAAACAUUAAGUAUGGGGGAGAAUCAAUUCAUUGAUUUUCUAACAUAUUUUAUGUUUGUUUUAAUUUAGCAACUUUCAUAAAUUUUGUUAAAUUUCUUUACAUAUUAAAAUAAAAGAAUGAAGGUGUAUUUUAUGAAUUCAAGAUUGAUUGUGAUUGUUGUAUGUCGAUUGGUUGGGAUUAAUUUUGUUUUCAAUUGACUGAUUUUGGUUUUGAAAAGAAAAAAAACUUGAUUUUGUGGUUUUAAAUUGAAGAGAUUUUUAGUCUGCUUACUUGAUCGAUUAUGUGGUCCUUGUGAGGAAUUUGAGCCUAGAGCGUAAGUUGGGACAUCCAUGCCAACUUAGGAGGUUAUUAUUCAUUCAUGUGUGAUUAUUGUUAUCGACUAUCAAUUACUCUAGAACUUGCUUUAGAUCUUAUUAAGGAUAGUAAUACAUUUGAUUUCCAUUGAUAUGAUUUAAGAGGCCAUAGGAAUUAAGCCACAAUUACUCAUAAAAAACCGACCUUGUCAUUAUUCCACUUAGCUAGCCAAUUUGAAGCCUUAAUUUCUUUAUUUUUUCUUCACCUCCAGAAAUUAAGCCAAAGAUGAAUCAACUCACCUUUUUAGGCUAGUUAAUUCAGUUUGGAAGUUCAUCAUAAUUUCGAUAUAUGUUGGCCAAUUUGGGGGUGAUGUUUAGCUGGAAAUUAAAGGCUGAUUUUCGUGAGAAAGAAGCAGCAAGUUGCAGCCUUCCGAGUGAAUUUAAUGAAUGAAGCGUUAUGUGAUCAUAAGGAAAUGGAUCGGUUGAAUCAAGGGAUAUGGAAACGAUGAAAGGCUGAUUGAUUUAGUUAUCUUCUUGAAUUGUUGAAAAAAGAAAAGAAAAGAGAAAUAAGAGAAUUGAUGACUUCCAGACGAUUAACUAGUCUAAGAAAAUUAGCUCCACCAUCCAAAUUAAUCCCUCCCGUCCUUAAAACAUUACCUUGGCCCCAUUACAACCUUAAUUUGGCCUCAAUUAUAUUUAUGAAAUUUUAUGUAUUAUGUUAAGGUAAGAUGGACAAGCAAGCCUAUGGGGUUAAUUACGGUUUAUUUCAAUUUGAGAGCGUUGUACUAGCCUAAACACAAUGAGUGAAGAGUGUUAAUAAUUUUAUUCUUUUCGGUGAGAAUUGAUCAAAGAAGCAUGAUUAUUUUCCUCUAUAUUUUCCUCUCUUGAAUAAACCAAAAUCUAAAUUGUUGAUUUCAAAAUUCAUCCUAAGCUUGGGCUAUGCAACAACUCUUGAUUAUUCUUGAUAUUUUUAAAAUUCUUCUUGAUUUUCGUCGACUUGAUUGCUCAGGGACGAUCAAUAGUUUAAGUAUAGGGGAGUUUGUUAAGUUCAAUUUUGAGUUUAACUUAUUCAAUUAAAUUAUUUAAAUUGUUGAUUACUUUUUUGGUUAAUUAAGUUAUAAUUCAGCCUAAAUUGAUUAGAGGCAUUCUAUGCCGUAAUAAUUUAAUUGCACUCCAAUUCAACAAUUUAAUUUUAAUUUUAUUUCAUGUGCAGGUUGAUGCCCGUAUAAGCUCAAUUUGGAAGGUAAUUCGCAUAAAUUAAGCUGCCGAAUGACGAUCAUAUGCUGGUUGAAGGAAUUAAAUUAACAUUGGGACAAAAUUCGGUCCAAUAGAAAAGCAGCAGGCCGAAUGAACAAACGGACAGCAAGGGAAUUAUUAUUAUUUCCUUCUUGCUAAGCGGUGGCCGACUCCAAUUGAAUUAAGGAAGCCAAAUCAGGCUUGAGGAGUUUAAUCGAAGUCAAACUCUACUAAGCAGAAGCUAUGCGACGGGUUAGGCUAAGAUUAAGGGGAUAAGAUCAAGUUUUUUUGAAUUAUUGGAGGAUUUAUUUUUCCAUAAAAGGAGGAGAAGAAGCAGCAGACGGGGCAGAGCUUUUUCUAUUAUUUUGCAGGUAUAGUUCGGUCAUUCGCUAGAGGAUUUCUGUGAUCCAACACACGCCAGUCAAUCAGCGGGAAACCAGUUUAGAGAAUCAGCUAAUCGAGAGGAGAAGGGCUCGUCAAUUGAGAGCAGUUUCUUUCAUACGAGAUUGGUUUAACGCGAGCUUCUUCGUGGGACGAUUCCCUAUUUACCCUCUAGUACCAGUUAAUAUUGGUUGGAUAACGGAUUUAAUCUGAAUGUCAACCGAACCAACAUCUAUUGAGGGUAGUGUUACACCUCCUACUUCGAUAGAUUCUAAAAAUUCGGGAGUUGGAGCUUCAAUCCAAACAAAGGGGACUACCGGGAAAAGAAAAGCCCCUCCUCAAAGAGUUUGCAUUUAGCACCGGGGGACGUGUGCUUGAUCAAUAUAGGAGUUCUUUAACUCCUAAAAUUGUACAAGCUCUUGUGUGUGCUCAAGAUUGGAUUCAAAGAUCAUCAUCACAAGAAGACAUAAAAAAGAUUGAAGAACAAAUCCAAGAGCUUGACAAGAUUGAAAAUGACAUUUCUUGGAAAGCAUUAGAGCCUACCCUAGAUUCAUGAGCUUUCGUGAGUUGAAGGGUUUAAUGCAAAUGGAGAUAUUUUGGAGAGAUGAAAUGGAUAUAAAUAGAGAAUAUUAAAACUUACAUGUCAAUUAUGUGUUAAUUCAAGACUUAUGUAAUGUUUUUAAUUAUGUAGUGAUUCAAAGACUUAUGUAAUAUUUUUAAUUAUGUAGUGAUUUAAAGAUUUAUGUAAUGCUUUUAAUUA